RNAcentral lists this unclassified non-coding RNA (386 nucleotides) under soil metagenome. Its description in RNAcentral is "partial contains 5.8S ribosomal RNA, internal transcribed spacer 2, and large subunit ribosomal RNA". The stretch from base 1 to 120 matches the Rfam family "5.8S ribosomal RNA", at positions 35 to 154 of the family's 154-position model. The record is from RNAcentral.
GAUGAAGAACGCAGCGAAAUGCGAUAAGUAAUGUGAAUUGCAGAAUUCAGUGAAUCAUCGAAUCUUUGAACGCACCUUGCGCUCCUUGGUAUUCCGAGGAGCAUGCCUGUUUGAGUGUCAUUAAAUUCUCAACCUCACCCGUUUUCUGAACGGGGUCGAGGCUUGGAUGUGGGGGUUUGUGCAGGCUGCCUUCACUGGCGGUCUGCUCCCCUGAAAUGCAUUAGCGAGGUUCAUGCUGAACUUCCGUCUAUUGGUGUGAUAAUUAUCUACGCCGUGGACGAGGAUCAGACUCGCUUCUAACCGUCCGCGAGGACAAUACCUUGACAAUUUGACCUCAAAUCAGGUAGGACUACCCGCUGAACUUAAGCAUAUCAAUAAGCGGAGGA